RNAcentral lists this ribosomal RNA (444 nucleotides) under uncultured Corynebacterium sp. RNAcentral describes it as "bacterial SSU rRNA". It matches the Rfam family "Bacterial small subunit ribosomal RNA", at positions 68 to 526 of the family's 1533-position model. The record is from RNAcentral. Lineage: Bacteria; Bacillati; Actinomycetota; Actinomycetes; Mycobacteriales; Corynebacteriaceae.
GGAAAGGCCCUGCUUGCAGGGUACUCGAGUGGCGAACGGGUGAGUAACACGUGGGUGAUCUGCCCUGCACUUCGGGAUAAGCCUGGGAAACUGGGUCUAAUACCGGAUAGGAGCCAUUUUUAGUGUGAUGGUUGGAAAGUUUUUUCGGUGUAGGAUGAGCUCGCGGCCUAUCAGCUUGUUGGUGGGGUAAUGGCCUACCAAGGCGGCGACGGGUAGCCGGCCUGAGAGGGUGGACGGCCACAUUGGGACUGAGAUACGGCCCAGACUCCUACGGGAGGCAGCAGUGGGGAAUAUUGCACAAUGGGCGCAAGCCUGAUGCAGCGACGCCGCGUGGGGGAUGACGGCCUUCGGGUUGUAAACUCCUUUCGCUAGGGACGAAGCUUUUUGUGACGGUACCUAGAUAAGAAGCACCGGCUAACUACGUGCCAGCCGCCGCGGUAAUAC